AAUGAACGCUGGCGGCAUGCCUAACACAUGCAAGUCGAACGAGAUCCUUCGGGGUCUAGUGGCGCACGGGUGCGUAACGCGUGGGAAUCUGCCCUUAGGUUCGGAAUAACAGUUAGAAAUGACUGCUAAUACCGGAUGAUGACGUUAAGUCCAAAGAUUUAUCGCCUGAGGAUGAGCCCGCGUAGGAUUAGCUAGUUGGUGUGGUAAAGGCGCACCAAGGCGACGAUCCUUAGCUGGUCUGAGAGGAUGAUCAGCCACACUGGGACUGAGACACGGCCCAGACUCCUACGGGAGGCAGCAGUGGGGAAUAUUGGACAAUGGGCGCAAGCCUGAUCCAGCAAUGCCGCGUGAGUGAUGAAGGCCUUAGGGUUGUAAAGCUCUUUUACCCGAGAUGAUAAUGACAGUAUCGGGAGAAUAAGCCCCGGCUAACUCCGUG
Molecule: ribosomal RNA, 436 nt
Filed under: uncultured bacterium
Lineage: Bacteria
Description: partial 16S ribosomal RNA
Rfam family: Bacterial small subunit ribosomal RNA
Source: RNAcentral